Molecule: long non-coding RNA, 958 nt
Organism: Leopardus geoffroyi (Geoffroy's cat)
Lineage: Eukaryota; Metazoa; Chordata; Mammalia; Carnivora; Felidae
Exons: 3
Source: RefSeq, a predicted model, not a curated record
AAGGGCAGCGUAUGGCCCCGGCCACUCUGCAGCAUCCCCAGCUAGCAUCCACCAGCACCGGACCUGGUGUGGAGGAGAUUCCCCCAGGGAAGGCAGGGAGAGGAGCCUGAACUUGAGGAGGAGGGGCAGGUGACGGGUUGGGAAACAGAAAGAUGCAGGGGUUCCCAGCUCUUCUCUGUAUGUACAUAACUAGAACUGUCCCGCCCCACAUGGUCACCAGACAGCGAGCCCCUUUGAGGCCGACACGAACAUGACCAGACACGUGCAAUAAGGGCUGCUCGUGGUGAAUUCCGAGGACGGCCCGGCAGGUGUUGGACACGCUGGGCCUCACCUCCCAAAACUCCGGGUGCCUCAGCGACACCGUGCAGGUGCCUUCGUGCAGACAGCCGGACGGGACAUUCCCUCGCCCAGCUCCAGGAGUCCUCAGAAGCGACGGGUUUCCUGCUGCCUCUCCUCCUGCCCAGGUGGUUUUCUCUGCGUCGCUGGGAGCAAAGUUUGCAGCUCGGUGGACGGACGAGCUCAUAUAAAGCAAAGUUCUUGGAUAAAAGGCCUCGAAGAGGCGUGGCCACCUGGCACCUCCCCUCCCCCCUCAUCCAGAGCCGGGGCUGCUGUUAGCAAAGAAGUCCCACACGUGGGAAAAGAGGGACAAGCAGGUCAAUGGAACAGAAUUAGAUACCCUCCCCCCGCCGCCCCCCCACCCCCACCCCAGACCUGGACGUUUAGCGACAAUUGGCGACAUCUCAGCCUCUGACAGAAAGAUGGGGUUUUUAAGAUGUGGUGUUCAGACAACCAGAUGGGCGUUUGGAGAAACAUGAAAUUAUACAUAGGUCUAAAACUGUAGCGGUGAUGGGUUGAAACAUUUUGUGAAUAUUUUGAAAACUCGGGAACUGCAUACGCUUAAGGGGUGAAUGUCGUGGUAUGUGAAUUAUAUCUCAGCAAAAAUACUUUUUAAAAUGGA